AUGUUCUCUGUAGCUCUGCUGCUGCUGUUGGCAGCUGGAUCCUUUGAGUCUCUCUGGAUUUGUCAUAGUGUGAAGUGUGAACAGUUGAAACAGCCAGCUUCAGUGACUGUGCAGCCAGGUCAACGUCUGACCAUCACCUGUCAGGUCUCUUAUUCUGUUAGCACCUACGCUACAGCUUGGAUCAGACAGCCUGCAGGGAAAGGACUGGAGUGGAUUGGAGAAUAUGCAGGCUGUGUUUUGUUGAUUGUCUUAACAGGUGUUGAUGGUCAGACUCUGACAGAAUCUGAACCAGCAGUUAAAAAGCCUGGAGAAUCCCACAAACUGACCUGUACAACCUCUGGAUUCACAUUCAGCAGCUACUGGAUGCACUGGAUCAGACAGGCUCCUGGAAAAGGACUGGAGUGGAUUGCUUUUAUCACUACUGGUGGUGGUAGCAGCAAAUUCUACUCUCAGUCAGUUCAAGGCCGGUUCACCAUCUCCAGAGACAACAGCAGAGAGCAGCUGUAUCUGCAGAUGAACAGUCUGAAGACUGAAGAUUCUGCUGUUUAUUAUUGUGCUCGAGUUAUCAAAAUGGACUAUGAGUAUGAACUGUGGUGUGCUUGUUAUACAUAA
Molecule: non-coding RNA, 612 nt
Organism: Scomber scombrus (Atlantic mackerel)
Lineage: Eukaryota; Metazoa; Chordata; Actinopteri; Scombriformes; Scombridae
Source: the annotation of a RefSeq genome assembly